Molecule: long non-coding RNA, 311 nt
Filed under: Rattus norvegicus (Norway rat)
Lineage: Eukaryota; Metazoa; Chordata; Mammalia; Rodentia; Muridae
Description: long non-coding RNA NONRATT010649
Source: RNAcentral
UCACUACCUCCCCACCACCCCUCAGGACCAAGCUAACGUCACCUCCUGCUUGGUCAUUGCCUGGACCUCCAGACUGCCUCUGGCCUACAACCCAUCAGUCUUCUAUCUCUGGAGCAAAGAGGAGAAUCCAGUCAGACCCUACAUCAGGUGCGCCUUCCCACGUCACGAAAGAGCAAAACCAAAGUCCUAAUGACGUGACAGACACAUGCUUGUUGCUGACCCACUCGCGCUUCUCUGGCCUGUCCCACAACUCUUUGCAAAGAGGGUGCUGGUUUCUUAGGUUGUUGGUGCACACACACACACACACACAC